Molecule: long non-coding RNA, 2813 nt
Organism: Betta splendens (Siamese fighting fish)
Lineage: Eukaryota; Metazoa; Chordata; Actinopteri; Anabantiformes; Osphronemidae
Exons: 5
Source: RefSeq, a predicted model, not a curated record
UCGGAACCCGCCCACUCGGACCGUCUCCGGCCGAUUACUUAUUCACAGCAUCCGCUUCCACUUUGCGAGAUAAGAGAUGCCGCAAUUAAUGCGGCCGUUACUGAAGAGCGCUGACAUCCGGCGCUGAUUUACCGACGGGGGCCGACGUGGGCGAGCGCGGUGCAGGUGCGCGCGGGCAUUGACACAAUGAUCGCUCAUAUUAGUGGCUCCUCCCAAGCGUUUCAUUGUCUAAAAAGGCCGGGCCGUCUCUUCAAGCCCCAGCGGCUCACACUAUUUUUACGCCGCGUUCAGGUGCUGAUGAAGCUUAAACCCAACACCGGACAGUGCACAGCGGAUCAGUCGUCUUAAGCCUUUCCACCGUGUGCUGAGUUACAGUCUGAGCAAAGUCCACGUUCAGCUUAACCUCCAACAAAACACAGCCAAAAGAAGUCAAAUGCACAGAAAUCUGAGUCCCUGGAGACACAGCGAGAGCAUCUGAAGCAGAUUUCAUUAUGAGACGUAUCGGAGGCUGAUAAAACAUCCAGUACUGUGGUCCAGAGUCUAAGCUUGAAGCGUUCGUAUUAUGACCAGCAAACAGGGAUUGGACCGGCACCAAACCAACGAGAGGGAGCAUGGCUUUAGUGUGUUCUGUCUAAUGAUGCAAAAAUCUCCAGCCACUUUAAAAAAAAAAGGUCACCAGAGAGGAAGUAGGAAGCACGAAGGGCUCAUUCUGCCCAGGAGGGAAGCGUUUAGUUGAAGUAGCACUUCAGUCUGUUGCUUUACUAUAAAUACUGUCUAAAUACUGUACAGUGCGUUGAUGUUCGCGUCCGUCGAUUACUUUGCUUUUCGUAUCCUCUUUGAACGCAUGAGCAGUGAUCUUCGUUUUUAACAGUACUUUGAUACUUUGCUUGACUUUACCUAUUUGUAUUUUUGGAGUUGUGAAGUUUAUGUUCCUUCUUUCAUCAAAUUACCUUUGCAGCUCAUAAUUCUGUGCAAUGGGUUCUGGUUUCUGUCGAGUACCUAUUCUUAUUCUUCCUAAUAAUUAGAUUCUGAUUCACGCCGGCCCGUUUGCACCGGCGACGCCACUGUAGCGUGUGGUAGCAGCGUAAUUAGUGGCUUCCAGAAGAGAACAGAAUCCAGCGAUAAAGAGCCAUUCUGAGCCCAGACAGAGGCACGUCUUAUUGAUCACGAGUAUAUAACCUUUUAAACUUUAAUGCAGGUUAAUUACUUUUGCUUAAUGCGAGGUGCGACUGCAGUCGAAUGUGCUGAGCCACACCAACGCGUCUCUUUAAUGGAAAAUGAGCAGCUUCUAGGAGGGAAUUUCAGCAUGUUCAUUAUGAUAAUCGUGUUAAUCUUAGCCACUGCCACUCUGCGUGGAAUAAUAAAUUCCGGAAGAAAAUUACAGAUCAUCAGCAGGGGAAGCUCCGCGUGCUUCGGUGUAUUCCCUGAGUAAUAAUGGAUUUCAAUUUCUUAAUUUACGGUUGGAGUUGUGAUCAAAAUAGCACCUUAACGCCCGACAUAUGCGACACCAGCGGAGCAGAACGCUAUCAAGCUCUUUCCUGGCGGAUCCCACAAUUAAAAUGACAUUAGAUACUCAGUGCAGUACAUUUUUCAACCCAAACCUUGUUAUUAUUCCUACAUAAAUCUCUAAUCUAAUCAUGAGCAGAUUACAGUGUGAAACCACUCGGGCACUUGAACGUCUGCCAGGACGAGAGCAGCGGCGGCAGCUCUUGCUCAUCGCGGCCGCAGACGGAGGCCGAGCGCCUGACACAUCGCCUCAAACCGCAUCGAUCUGCAUCGGGAGGACGCAACGCCUGGUCCGACGCACUUUUACAACACUACAGAGUGAAACCAGAAAUCAGACGAGCACAGGUCGGCGCCGCGCGACGUUGCGACUCGACGCCGAUGACAGAUGGAAAACUACGACGCAUUUAUAACCGUCGGUUAACGGCAGCGCUGACGAGGCGCUUUCUCCGCUCGCUUCGAGGAGCCGGGCCGCGUCCCGUUCUGCAGUGAUACCUCGCAGACAUAAAUGCAAGGUUUUCCAAAAGAAGAGCCUCCAAGGACUGAGAUUCUACCAAAACGGAGUCUGUGCAGCCCCCCACCCCCACCCCACCCUCCAUGUCCAAACUGGUUACGAGCUGCCGGGAGAAGGCGUCCGAGCGUUGGCAUGUGGGAGGAGAGAUGCUAAGACUUAAUGACACCGAGCUCAUUAAAAGAUGCCAUUUGGACAAAAAAAGGGACAGAUCUUGUGUGGGAUGCACUUGGUCCGUCAACAACGAGAACACAUGCUGUCGGUCACUGCAGCUUCUCCGCCUCCUCCGGACGUCAACAGGGAAUGUGCAGCAGUAAUGCUUUACAGGAAAACUAAUCACUGGAAGGAGUUCAUAUUUUCAUUUCUCCUUAUGUACUGUGAUACACUUCACUGAAUCUAAUGAAGCACAUGAUCAGACUUGGCUCCUUGUUUCCUGUCGGCACAGGAAAGUGAUGUCAUCAAACAGUGACAUCACAAGGUGUCCUAGUAAUCCUCACAGGCAAAACAGGUGUAGAAGGCUUCCUAAUAAGUACUAAUCUGUGGUUAAUCCUACCACUUCUUCAGCUUCUGGAUAAUUCCCAGCCGUGACUCUGAGAUACGUGAUAAAUAAGAGCCCAGGGUUCAUUUUGGCAGCCUGUGUUACGAGGACGGCAGCUGAAACACCAUGAAGGUGACGCGUCGGAGGUAAAGGUCCUAAACGUGGAAACCCGGGGAAAGCGCUGAUGGUGGUGGCGAUGAUGCGUUCAAGCAGCCCCGGUAAACAGAGGACCCAACCGUCUGUCUGCAGAGUAAUCUACAG